RNAcentral lists this ribosomal RNA (465 nucleotides) under uncultured bacterium. RNAcentral describes it as "bacterial SSU rRNA". It matches the Rfam family "Bacterial small subunit ribosomal RNA", at positions 917 to 1382 of the family's 1533-position model. The record is from RNAcentral.
GGGCCCGCACAAGCGGUGGAGCAUGUGGUUUAAUUCGACGCAACGCGAAGAACCUUACCCAGGCUUGACAUGCAUCGGACUGGUGUGGAAACACACCUUUCCUUCGGGACCGAUGCACAGGUGCUGCAUGGCUGUCGUCAGCUCGUGUCGUGAGAUGUUGGGUUAAGUCCCGCAACGAGCGCAACCCUUGUCCUUAGUUGCUAACGGAUAACGCCGAGCACUCUAAGGAGACUGCCGGUGGUAAACCGGAGGAAGGUGGGGAUGACGUCAAGUCCUCAUGGCCCUUACGCCUGGGGCUACACACGUGCUACAAUGGCCGGCACAAAGGGUUCCGAUACCGCGAGGUGGAGGUAAUCCCAAAAAACCGGUCUCAGUUCGGAUUGCAGUCUGCAACUCGACUGCAUGAAGUUGGAAUCGCUAGUAAUCGCUGAUCAGCAGGCAGCGGUGAAUACGUUCCCGGGCCUU